UACUGAUAAAAAUUGGAUGAUUGUAUUUACUGAUAAUGAGGAUGAUAUGAUGCUUGUUGGAGAUGACCCUUGGCAGGAAUUUUGUGCUAUGGUCCGUCAGAUUUUUAUAUACACAAAAGAGGAGGUCCAGAAGAUGGAUUCAAGUACCUUGAACCCAAAAAAUGAAGAUUGUCCUGAUAUGAAAGAGAA
Zingiber officinale is the source of this 189-nucleotide long non-coding RNA. RefSeq lists it as uncharacterized. Lineage: Eukaryota; Viridiplantae; Streptophyta; Magnoliopsida; Zingiberales; Zingiberaceae. The record is from RefSeq and is a predicted model, not a curated record. The transcript has 2 exons.